UUCGCUUCUACUAGACUCCAGGUGCGAGCUGGGGCUAACCAUCGCCAGGAUGUGGGACGCUGCGUGUUUGCAGCCGCAGGACUGGGAAGGCUUCAGAGGACGAGAAAGCAGGUGGAGGCCCGGAUCUCGCCGGUCCCGGAGGCUAUGGGCACGGCUCCUACUUUUCCUCUGCGGUCCUCAAGUUCUCCAGAUCCUGUCCCAGGCUCGACGUGUCUCCUCUCGCUCUUCCGCGCCGAGCCGGUCUACGCAGGCAAAGCGAGGCUGCCUAGGCAACCAUUCAACUAGCCCAAUUUAAAGCCACAUCCUUACCAAAAAGUUCAGCUGUGUGGAAAGGGGGGAGAGCCCAAAUGUUUGUAGAGCAGAUUUCCUGUGUAUUCCCACGCUGCCCGAGUCCCGCACAGUUUCCUUGGCUCCUGCCAGCCAAGUCUUUUGGAAUCUCGGCGACGACUUCCAAAUCUAGGCUUUACCCUAUCGUGGAAAAAUAAAGCGGGGUCCACCUCAA
Molecule: long non-coding RNA, 502 nt
Filed under: Chinchilla lanigera (long-tailed chinchilla)
Lineage: Eukaryota; Metazoa; Chordata; Mammalia; Rodentia; Chinchillidae
Description: lncRNA (ENSCLAG00000025994.1)
Source: RNAcentral